GCCUAUGGCCAUGCCACCCUAAACAAGCCCAAUUUCGUCUGAUCUCGGAAGCUAAGCAGGGUCUGGCCUGGUUAAUACUUGGAUGAGAGACCACCUAGGAAGACCAGGUGCUGUAGGCC
This 119-nucleotide ribosomal RNA is filed under the name Pteropus alecto (black flying fox). The record is from RNAcentral. Lineage: Eukaryota; Metazoa; Chordata; Mammalia; Chiroptera; Pteropodidae.